AAAGAACUUUGAAGAGAGAGUUCAAUAGUACGUGAAACCGUAUAGGGGUAAACGGGUGGAAGCGCUAAAUCGGGUUAAAGAAUUCAAAUUAGUAUUAGCUCGUAAUGUGAUGCACUGCAUAGUUAACGCUAGUAGUUUUUGCACUCACGUUCAAUACUGGUUGCACUUUCUUUGAUUCGAGCGCCUCGACAGAUUGCAAUUUACGCGCACUUUAAAGGUUUUGACUAGGUACUGUGAUUCGUACGGACUAAUAAGUUGAUUCUUAUGCGUAUAUUGCGAUCUUGGAUUAAAAGCGGUGCCAGCGCAAGCGAGAUGAGUGCUUUUUCGGUGGCUGUCGGUACUACCUGGUAGUUCAUUCUAACCGGGUUAUCGUGUGCUUACUCUCAUGGUACUUUAGUCAGAGGUGAACGGUCGUACGUCUACCCGACCCGUCUUGAAACACGGACCAAGGAGUCUAACAUGUGCGCAAGUCAUUGAGUUUUACGAAACUUAAAGGCGAAAUGAAAGUGAAAGCUAUCUCGAUAGCUUAGGUGUGAUCCAGCGAAUGGCGCAACACCGUCCGGUCACAAUUGCUUAGCAAUAUGGCCGCGAAAGAGCGUACACGUUGGGACCCGAAAGAUGGUGAACUAUGCCUGAGCAGGAUGAAGCCAGAGGAAACUCUGGUGGAGGUCCGUAGCGGUUCUGACGUGCAAAUCGAUCGUCAAACU
RNAcentral lists this ribosomal RNA (707 nucleotides) under Keratella quadrata. RNAcentral describes it as "LSU rRNA". It matches the Rfam family "Eukaryotic large subunit ribosomal RNA", at positions 368 to 911 of the family's 3401-position model. Lineage: Eukaryota; Metazoa; Rotifera; Eurotatoria; Ploima; Brachionidae. The record is from RNAcentral.